UACGGGGGGGGGCAAGCGUUGUUCGGAAUUACUGGGCGUAAAGAGCGUGUAGGCGGCCAUGCAGGUCCGUUGUGAAAACUGGAGGCUUAACCUCCAGACGUCGACGGAAACCGCGUGGCUAGAGUCCGGAAGAGGAGAGUGGAAUUCCUGGUGUAGCGGUGAAAUGCGCAGAUAUCAGGAAGAACACCAAUGGCGAAGGCAGCUCUCUGGGACGGUACUGACGCUGAGACGCGAAAGCGUGGGGAGCGAACAGG
Molecule: ribosomal RNA, 254 nt
Filed under: uncultured bacterium
Lineage: Bacteria
Description: partial 16S ribosomal RNA
Rfam family: Bacterial small subunit ribosomal RNA
Source: RNAcentral